GGAAUCACGUCAAAUUGACAGGUCCUCGGAAGCCUUUACAGCAAUUCUUCCAAAAGUGAAAUAUCUGGGUCAUGUUCCAUGAAAAUAAUUCACAGUCCAAUAUCCAACUUCAAACGCAGCAGCUAGUGCUUAUAUGCACCCUCCUAAGGCAAAACUUAGGUAAAUACAGAAUAUGUAUCAUGUUACAGGGCUAAAAACCAUUCGGAUUCGACCAAAAUAAGGAUUAUCACUGCAAGAGAUUUAUCCCUCUCUUUUUCAAGAGUGACUUCUGUUAAGGAUAUGCUUUCUCAGAAUAUGCUUUCUCAAGGAUCAACUAAACUCAUAAUGUUAGUCGCAAUACACCAGUUGCUUCACAUUUUUAGCAAUCAUCAUAGGCUGCUGCUCAGCACCUCUCGAGCUCAUCUAGGCUACUCUUC
Molecule: long non-coding RNA, 416 nt
Filed under: Triticum aestivum (bread wheat)
Lineage: Eukaryota; Viridiplantae; Streptophyta; Magnoliopsida; Poales; Poaceae
Description: long non-coding RNA (TAES_LNC003209)
Source: RNAcentral